GUGAAAGAGACCAGGCUAUUCGCAAACUGGAAAGGGAAAUAGAAGAUAAAGAUAGGGAAUUGCAAUCAAUUAAAUUAGACAACGACGCAGCUUGGGCCAAGGAUGAUCUUCUGCGGGAACAAGAUAAGGAAAUAGCAACUUAAAGGAACAAGGAUAAUUAAUCAAUGAAAAAGAAAUGAAGAGGUUUAUCCAUGC
Cucumis sativus (cucumber) is the source of this 195-nucleotide long non-coding RNA. RefSeq lists it as uncharacterized. The transcript is spliced from 3 exons. Lineage: Eukaryota; Viridiplantae; Streptophyta; Magnoliopsida; Cucurbitales; Cucurbitaceae. The record is from RefSeq and is a predicted model, not a curated record.